ACCGGCAAACGGGUGCGGAACACGUACACAACCUUCCUUCAAGCGGGGAAUAGCCCAGAGAAAUUUGGAUUAAUACCCCAUAAUAUAUUAUAGAGGCAUCUUUAUGAUAUUAAAGCUUCGGCACUUGUUGAUGGGUGUGCGUCUGAUUAGGUAGUUGGUGAGGCAACGGCUCACCAAGCCAACGAUCAGUAGCUGAUGUGAGAGCAUGAUCAGCCACACGGGCACUGAGACACGGGCCCGACUCCUACGGGAGGCAGCAGUAAGGAAUAUUGGACAAUGGACGCAAGUCUGGUCCAGCCAUGCCGCGUGAAGGAUUAAGGUCCUCUGGAUUGUAAACUUCUUUUAUAGGGGGCGAAAAAAGGGCAUUCUUGCUCACUUGACGGUACUCUAUGAAUAAGCACCGGCUAACUCCGUGCCAGCAGCCGCGGUAAUACGGAGGGUGCAAGCGUUAUCCGGAUUCACUGGGUUUAAAGGGUGCGUAGGCGGGUAAUUAAGUCAGUGGUGAAAUCUCGGAGCUUAACUCCGAAACUGCCAUUGAUACUAUUUAUCUUGAAUAUUGUGGAGGUUUGCGGAAUAUGUCAUGUAGCGGUGAAAUGCUUAGAUAUGACAUAGAACACCUAUUGCGAAGGCAGCAGGCUACACAUAUAUUGACGCUGAGGCACGAAAGCGUGGGGAUCAAACAGGAUUAGAUACCCUGGUA
RNAcentral lists this ribosomal RNA (700 nucleotides) under uncultured bacterium. RNAcentral's name for it is "bacterial SSU rRNA". It matches the Rfam family "Bacterial small subunit ribosomal RNA", at positions 94 to 792 of the family's 1533-position model. The record is from RNAcentral.